RNAcentral lists this ribosomal RNA (253 nucleotides) under uncultured bacterium. Its description in RNAcentral is "partial 16S ribosomal RNA". It matches the Rfam family "Bacterial small subunit ribosomal RNA", at positions 524 to 776 of the family's 1533-position model. The record is from RNAcentral.
UACGAAGGGGGCUAGCGUUGUUCGGAAUUACUGGGCGUAAAGCGCGUGUAGGCGGGUCCUUAAGUCAGGGGUGAAAUGCCAAGGCUCAACCUUGGAACUGCCUUUGAUACUGGAGACCUUGAGUCCGGGAGAGGUGAGUGGAAUUGCGAGUGUAGAGGUGAAAUUCGUAGAUAUUCGCAAGAACACCAGUGGCGAAGGCGGCUCACUGGCCCGGAACUGACGCUGAGACGCGAAAGCGUGGGGAGCGAACAGG